Molecule: ribosomal RNA, 324 nt
Filed under: uncultured eukaryote
Lineage: Eukaryota
Description: partial 18S ribosomal RNA
Rfam family: Eukaryotic small subunit ribosomal RNA
Source: RNAcentral
CCCUUAGAUGUCCUGGGCUGCACGCGCGCUACACUGAUGUGUCCAGUAAGCACCUAACCUCUUCCGAAAGGAACGGGUAACCUUUGCAAAGCACAUCCUGAUGGGGAUAGAUUAUUGCAAUUAUUAGUCUUGAACGAGGAAUUCCUAGUAAGCACAAGUCAUCAGCUUGUGUUGAUUACGUCCCUGCCCUUUGUACACACCGCCCGUCGCUCCUACCGAUUGAAUGUUCCGGUGAGCUCUUCGGACUGCGCGGUCUGCAGUUUCUGCGUUCCGUGCGGAAAGUUGCGCAAACCUUAACAUUUAGAGGAAGGAGAAGUCGUAACA